GACGAACCGUGCAAACGUUGUUCGGAUUCACUGGGCUUAAAGGGCGCGUAGGCGGGCGGUCAAGUCGGGGGUGAAAUCUUUCAGCUUAACUGGAAAAGUGCCUCCGAUACUGAUCGUCUUGAGGGAGGUAGGGGCAUGUGGAACUUCCGGUGGAGCGGUGAAAUGCGUAGAUAUCGGAAGGAACGCCGGUGGCGAAAGCGACGUGCUGGACCUCUUCUGACGCUGAGGCGCGAAAGCUAGGGGAGCGAACGGG
This 253-nucleotide ribosomal RNA is filed under the name uncultured bacterium. RNAcentral's name for it is "partial 16S ribosomal RNA". It matches the Rfam family "Bacterial small subunit ribosomal RNA", at positions 524 to 776 of the family's 1533-position model. The record is from RNAcentral.